Symphalangus syndactylus (siamang) is the source of this 862-nucleotide long non-coding RNA. RefSeq lists it as uncharacterized. The record is from RefSeq and is a predicted model, not a curated record. Lineage: Eukaryota; Metazoa; Chordata; Mammalia; Primates; Hylobatidae.
UUAAACAAAAAUGUUUUUCUGCAGUUCCUGAGAGAUCCCAUGAUCCAGAGACAAAGGUGGCAGCUUUGGAGCAAGUGGAGAGCCAAGAAAAGGAUCCAGAACUGGAGUGGAAGGCUGGAGUGCAAUGGCAUGAUCUUGGCUCACCACAACCUCCGCCUCCCAGGUUCAAGCAAUUCUCCUGCCUCAGACUCCUGAUCCCGAGUGGCUGGGACUACAGGCAUGUGCCACCACACCCAGGAAAGAAAGGACACACACUGGCACACUACAGUGGAGACAUCUGGAUCCCUGAAAUUGUCUGGCGAAGAGAUGUCACUGAGUACCCAUAUGAAUAGGAGACAGAAGCCAGAGACAGAGGCAAAAAAAAAGAAAAUUAGAAUAGGAGACACAGGGAAGUAAACUGAUGUUUGUGGCUUAGCUUGAUUUUUGGUAAUUUAAAAGAUAAUGUUGAUAAUAUGAUUGAUACUGACUUUUAAGAAAGAGAAGAAAUAAAUAAAUAAAUCUCAUGAGAGACACAGAUGUAGGUGUCUUGAACCACUUUAUAGAGUUGUGAGUAUGUGGUCUGAAAUAUUUUAUGAAAAUGACGCCUUGGAUACAUUUUUUUCUUGUCACUUCCUUUGGUUUUGCAUUUUUAUGUGUGCGAUUUAGUGCUAUUAAAAUAGUUUAAAAAAUAAUGCUCAGAGUUGAUCAUGCAACUUAAAAAUUAAAUAGACAGGGAGACAGUUCUAAAAAGAAAUCUGAGGGGUAUGAGAUAAAAACGUGUUGAUCAUGGUCUUUCAAACAUGAAUGUGAAUAUGAAUACAUUUACAUGUAUACCUACAUAUAUAUAUAUAUAUGCACAGAUAAAAGUUUAUUGUUCUUAGGC